RNAcentral lists this unclassified non-coding RNA (1401 nucleotides) under Eufriesea mexicana. Its description in RNAcentral is "ras-like GTP-binding protein Rho1, transcript variant X6". Lineage: Eukaryota; Metazoa; Arthropoda; Insecta; Hymenoptera; Apidae. The record is from RNAcentral.
UGUGGCCAUCGAGGGCAGCCAUCUUCUUGACUUUCUGUCGCUUAACAUUUCAGCAGAGACGCUGAAAGAAAGACUAAAAACAUGGGAUGCAAUAUGGGCCGAUGCCUAGGUCCAGACGAUACGGGGUACCCUGGAUCAGAAUUCAUGGCAGCCAUUAGGAAGAAACUGGUUAUUGUGGGUGAUGGUGCUUGUGGUAAAACAUGCUUACUCAUAGUCUUCAGCAAAGACCAGUUUCCUGAAGUUUAUGUACCUACAGUGUUUGAGAACUAUGUUGCAGACAUUGAAGUUGAUGGGAAGCAGGUUGAACUGGCUCUCUGGGAUACAGCUGGACAAGAAGAUUACGAUAGGUUGCGUCCAUUGUCAUAUCCCGACACAGAUGUAAUUCUAAUGUGUUUCUCUAUCGAUAGUCCCGAUUCCUUGGAGAACAUUCCCGAGAAGUGGACACCAGAGGUGAAACACUUCUGCCCAAAUGUGCCCAUUAUCCUUGUUGGAAACAAAAGAGACUUGCGCAAUGAUCCUAAUACCAUUAAGGAGCUUAGCAAGAUGAAACAAGAGCCAGUUAAGCCAGAAGAAGGUAGAGCUAUGGCCGAAAAAAUCAGUGCUUUUGCUUAUCUUGAAUGUUCUGCUAAAAGUAAGGAUGGUAUUAGGGAAGUAUUUGAAACAGCCACUCGGGCAGCGCUACAAUUCGUAGGUAAAAAAGAAGAAGAAGGGAAGAUGUUGGCUCCUAUAAUUCUUGAACUAUCACCAAUAACGAGACAACACUAAUGGAAUUGCUAGUUGCAAUGAAGCUAGUUGUUAUGCCGGAGACCCCCAGCGGAAACCAUAAUAUAAUAACAACUUAUCUUUAAUUAUUUUACACAAUAAAACAAAUCUAUAAAAAAAAGAAAAACAACUACAAAAUACGCCCACAGUAUAAAAAAAACUCAUUGAUGAAACCGGAGACUUAAACUAUUGACUAAAUUUAAUACAAGUAUAUGUGCUAUAUAUGAGAAACUAUAAUGUAUAUUGUAAUGACUCCUUGAUUGUAUUUUUUAAUGGUAAUGAAUUGUGCUUCGAGUUUAAACAAUUAAACAAUUGUCAUACCAACUAUUUACAAUUACGUUGCUGUUUAUUUUUGAUAAUAAAAAGAAAGUGGAAAGAAGGGAAGAAAAGAGUUGGGGGAAUUCGUAACAAAGUAUAAAAAGAGAAAAGGGGGAGAGUAUAAGUGUAGUAUGCAAUGCAAAGUCAUAGAAAGCAAUGUAAGAAUUUAAAACAAAAUGUUAAGAAUUCCAAAUGUUGCGUCGCUAUUUUAUUGAACCAUCGCAUUAUUUCUAUAUUUCUUAAACAAAAAAAAGUAACGAACUUUAUAUUAUGAAAUUGCGUAAGUAGACCAGCGGAUCACUUUGAUCUUUAAGAUACCAA